Molecule: ribosomal RNA, 672 nt
Filed under: uncultured bacterium
Lineage: Bacteria
Description: bacterial SSU rRNA
Rfam family: Bacterial small subunit ribosomal RNA
Source: RNAcentral
CCCUUAGAGUUUGAUCCUGGCUCAGAUUGAACGCUGGCGGCGUGCCUAACACAUGCAAGUCGAGCGGUAACAGGUGUAGCAAUACAUGCUGACGAGCGGCGGACGGGUGAGUAACGCUUGGGAAUCUGCCUGAUAGUGGGGGACAACCCGGGGAAACUCGGGCUAAUACCGCAUACGCACUACGGUGGGAAGCCGGGGACCGCAAGGCCUGGCGCUAACAGAUGAGCCCAAGUCGGAUUAGCUAGUUGGUAGGGUAACGGCCUACCAAGGCGACGAUCCGUAACUGGUCUGAGAGGACGACCAGUCACACCGGAACUGAGACACGGUCCGGACUCCUACGGGAGGCAGCAGUGGGGAAUAUUGGACAAUGGGCGAAAGCCUGAUCCAGCGACGCCGCGUGGGUGAAGAAGGCCUGCGGGUUGUAAAGCCCUUUCGGUGGGGAAGAAAAGCCUCGAGUUAAUACCUCGGGGUCUUGACGUAACCCAUAGAAGAAGCACCGGCUAACUCUGUGCCAGCAGCCGCGGUAAUACAGAGGGUGCGAACGUUAAUCGGAAUUACUGGGCGUAAAGCGCGCGUAGGCGGCUUUGCAAGUCGGGUGUGAAAUCCCCAGGCUUAACCUGGGAACUGCAUUCGAGACUGCAUUGCUAGAGUAUGGGAGAGGGAAGUGGAAUU